RNAcentral lists this ribosomal RNA (575 nucleotides) under Talaromyces funiculosus. Its description in RNAcentral is "eukaryotic LSU rRNA". The stretch from base 202 to 355 matches the Rfam family "5.8S ribosomal RNA". The record is from RNAcentral. Lineage: Eukaryota; Fungi; Ascomycota; Eurotiomycetes; Eurotiales; Trichocomaceae.
GUGAACCUGCGGAAGGAUCAUUACCGAGUGCGGGCCCUCGUGGCCCAACCUCCCACCCUUGUCUCUCUACACCUGUUGCUUUGGCGGGCCCACUGGGGCUCCCUGGUCGCCGGGGGACGCCUGUCCCCGGGCCCGCGCCCGCCGAAGCGCUUCGUGAACCCUGAUGAAGAAGGGCUGUCUGAGUACUAUGAAAAUUGUCAAAACUUUCAACAAUGGAUCUCUUGGUUCCGGCAUCGAUGAAGAACGCAGCGAAAUGCGAUAAGUAAUGUGAAUUGCAGAAUUCCGUGAAUCAUCGAAUCUUUGAACGCACAUUGCGCCCCCUGGCAUUCCGGGGGGCAUGCCUGUCCGAGCGUCAUUUCUGCCCUCAAGCACGGCUUGUGUGUUGGGUGUGGUCCCCCCGGGGACCUGCCCGAAAGGCAGCGGCGACGUCCGUCUGGUCCUCGAGCGUAUGGGGCUCUGUCACUCGCUCGGGAAGGACCUGCGGGGGUUGGUCACCACCACAUUUUCCAUUAUGGUUGACCUCGGAUCAGGUAGGAGUUACCCGCUGAACUUAAGCAUAUCAAUAAGCGGAGGAA